This 223-nucleotide long non-coding RNA is filed under the name Mytilus galloprovincialis (Mediterranean mussel). Lineage: Eukaryota; Metazoa; Mollusca; Bivalvia; Mytilida; Mytilidae. The record is from RNAcentral.
AAAAAAGUUACUUGCCUGAUGGUUCAAAUAAAUAUUGUAGUAUUUUAUUGUUAGCUAAUAAUGAUUUUAGCACGUUUUGCAUCCCAAACAAAUCAGUGAAAUCAAUUGGUUUAUAUGUGUAAAAAUUUAGGAAUGUUGGAAAUGGGUUUAUUACAUCAAUGGGACAGAAACUCAAAGGCAAAUCAACUAAAUGAAAUGACACGUAAAGGACAAGUUUGCAGCA